AGUGAAGAACUGGACAACUGGACGAAAUGUAUGAAGAAACUGCAGACAUGGGACAACAGAAAGCACAGGACUUUCCUGGGCUUAGCAGGAUGGAUCUCAUCUACUGUGGAACUUAGUGUCCUGUUUUGGCUUAAAACUGUCCUAGCAGCAAGACCUAGCAAAUGGACGCCUGAGUAGUCACAUCUGUUGAGCACUUUUGUGACUGUAAGCCAUUGGUGACAGUUCUUUAGGUUUGCAUAAAUGUUGAGAAAAGUUCAGUAGUCUUGAAAGAGAUAAAAGCUGUCCCAUCACCUUGGUCUUAUAACACUCCCAGAGUUUAAAGGAAGGCAGCCAUUAGCUGUUUUUCUGGAAACAUAAGCAUUAAGUGCUGUGAACUCAGUGUCAUGGAUAUAGGACUGAGUCAAGGAAAUUAAUUCAAAUAAUAAUGUAUUGCGUUCUCCUAUUGCAAGGCACAGCACUAACACUUUAAGGUUUAAAUAACAAUCGGUAGGACACAAUGCCUGACUUCAAACUUAUUCUAAUAGGAGGUUGGGACAGGAGAUGAGAAUUAUAUAUUUUUUUAAAAAAGCCAAACCUUACAUAUACCUUCAGAGAGGCACCACCGAUAUCGUGAGAGAUUGAAGAAGGAAGAGUCCAUAUUUAUGGCUGAUCAUGAAAAUUUAUUACUUGAGCUAGGUCUUGUAAAGAAGAGUAUAUAUAAUUUUGAGUCAGAAAAAAAGGGGAAGACCAAAUAUCGUGGUUUGUAAAUUCCAAUGUACUAAUUUAUGGGGACCAGGGAGAAGUUUAACUUUAGAGAAAAGGAAUUGAAAAACUGAAAGAUAAGUUGUUGUACUCUUGUAAAGGGGCUGAAUAAAAGCUGACUUCAAGCUGAAGUCUGCCCAGUUCAAUAGGUAUUCAGUAAUAAAGUAAGACUUUUUUCUAUUGA
This is a long non-coding RNA of Bubalus bubalis (water buffalo), 925 nucleotides long. RefSeq lists it as uncharacterized. NCBI's taxonomy places the organism in Eukaryota, Metazoa, Chordata, Mammalia, Artiodactyla, Bovidae. The transcript is spliced from 2 exons. The record is from RefSeq and is a predicted model, not a curated record.